CUUUAAGUUUCCAUGACAUAAAUAUCAGCUGACAUACACACAAGGUGACUCACCUUCUUCCCAUUAAACUAGGUUGAGAUUAAAAACAAACAAGCAAACAGCUGGAAUGUGGCACGUGGGUCAGACCCUUCUGAGUCCAGUUGGGUAACUCAGCAGAGAUCAGAAUGAUCUUCAAAAACCAACAAGCCAUUGGCACGUAUCUUCAGGCAUGCUUGAAGUCUAUGGGGCCAAAUGGUAGAGUAUCCUGGCAGAGCCAAAAAGUCUUCUUUUAUGACACAGAAAAGAAAACUUCUUUCAAAGUAGUUAUGCAACCCAGGAGAACACAAUGCAUCCACUGUGUGUGUCCUGGGGCUGUCUAUGAACACAUGAUUUCAUAUUUUUGUCCUCUGUAAACUUCAGCAUUGAUGAUGAACAUUAUUUCAAGGAAAUAUCCCACUACUUUAUCUCUGUAAAGACAUCCAUAGAGAAUGGGCCUUUUAGAAAAUCUCACACCACUUCCUAGUUGGAGCAAUUAAACAAUAGAGAAGAUGGGUAUUCUGGAGCAGAAUUUAAUGAAACAGAACUCCACCAUCUAUGGCAAGUUUGACUGCUUGAGUCUCCAGAGGAUAAUAGUUGGAGGCCACUGAGGCCCAAAUUCAUCAGUCCGGCCAUUGAAGGACACAAGUGAACAAAGGAGGACGGCAAAGACAGAACUGUGAUAUUCAAACACUCAAUAGCUCACAGUGUCGGGGUUCAUUAUGACACUUACUAAGCACAUGCCAUAUUUCUGACACUGUGCUAAGAGUUUCAUGAACAUUAACUAAAUUAACCCCAUAAAAACGCCAUUAGAAAGAUGCAGUUUUGUACCCCCUUACACAGAUGAAGAAAAUAAAGUAUAGAGACUUUAAGAAAUUUGCCAGAAGUCUUAUAACUGAUUGGUUUGCCAUGGCUCUUUGAAACAGUUACUCUUGUCCUCAUUGUAGAGAUGGCGAUACUAAGGCAGAAUAUGGCUAGCCUGGACUUCUUUUUGUGGAGACUGGAUUCCAAGAUUGAAAGUAGAAGCUACAUGUUUUCUCCAAGCAGGGCUUUCAGACUUCACUUCUGCAACAUUUUAUUGAUGAAAGCAAGUCACAAGACCAGACUGAUUCAAGGGGUGGAGAAAUAGACCCUACUUCUUGAUGGAGGGAGGAGUAGAGUUACAUUGCAAAGGGAUCUGGACAAAAAAAGGAGUGAUUUAUUAGGAAUCAUGUUUAACAAUUUACCACAAUCCCCAGCGCAACUGCCUGUUAGCUGGAUCCAGAAAUGUCUACGACUACUGCAAUGCCACUUGGCCUUAGGGGUGAUGUGACCCAGUGUAAAGAGAUGGUGGUCUUAACCAAUCACAGUUAAGAUAGUUUAGUUUUGGAAGGUAUAAAAAAUAUGUAACAACAUGAAUGCACUUUUAGGGUCAGACAAGAGACUUGGAAAGAGCCUGCAAAAUGGAGGAGCCCUGAGGCCUAAGUCUCAUGAGUGUCAAUGCUUACCUGUAUCUAGACACUGGCAUCCCCCUUUUGAUAAGGCCAAGAUUGAUUGUUUUCCUUUUCUACCUACCCUAUAUCUAAUCCAUGUACAAACACUGUUGACACACAAAAGAACCCUAAAUUCAACAAUCUGUGAAGAAUUUUUGCACUAACAUGUUAGUUCAAAAACUCAACAUUGCUUGCUAAGACUAUUGCAAUAAACUCCUCUAUGAUCCCCUAA
RNAcentral lists this long non-coding RNA (1719 nucleotides) under Homo sapiens (human). RNAcentral describes it as "PREDICTED lncRNA (TCONS_00227642)". Lineage: Eukaryota; Metazoa; Chordata; Mammalia; Primates; Hominidae. The record is from RNAcentral.